GCACCACCACACCCAGCAAAUUUUUUAUUUUUUUAAAUAUUUUUGUAGAGAGAAUUUGCUGUGUUGCCCAGGCCAUCGUUCUGCCUCGUCCUCCCCAAGUACAUGAGCCACUGCAUCCAGCAUGAAAAAUUAGUGAUCAUAAUUUUAGUUCUUUGCUCCUCUGACAUAGCUUUGGGACAUGGUCUAAAUUAAAUAUUACUGGUGCUCUGGGUGCACCGAUAUAGGAUUGUUCUGUAUAUUUCGUGUCCUAGGGCUGCCAUAACAAAUUUCCACAAACUGGCUGGCUUAAAACAACAGAAAUGUAUUCUCUCACAGUUCUGGAGGCCUGAAGUCAGAAAUCAAGGUGACAGCAGGGCCGUGCUCCCUCAGAAGGCUCUAGGGGAGAACCUCUCCUGCCUCCUCCUAGCUACUGGUGGUUCACAGUGGUCCUUGGUGCUCCGUGGCCUGCAGCUGCGUCACUCCUCUCUGCCUUUUAUCUUCACAUGGCCUUCUUCUCUGUGUCUCUGCAUGUCCUUUCCUCUGCGUGUCCUUUCCUCUUAUAAAGACACCACUCAUUGCAUUCAGGGCUUACUCUAAGUCCAGGACGAUUUCAUCUGGAGAUCCUUAACUAAUUACAUCAGCAAAGACCCUGUUUUCAAAUCAGGCCACAUUCACAGGUACUGGGAAUCAGAACUUCAGUGUAUCUUUUUGUGGCACACAAUUCAAGCCACUACAGCUUGCAGUGAGGGAAGGGAAAAGGAGGGGAGGAGAAAAAUUAUUAGCUUGUGAAACAAUUGCUACACAUGCUAUAUAAUUUUUGACUGCUCAAGAUGUUAGCAUUUCUCACAGGGAGAAGUUAAAAAGCUGCCCACACAAAGUCACACACCUGCUUUAAAAAGAAACUCUUUUGAUUCUACUAGGUUGCCUUUGCAUAUGGGCAAGUAGUUGAAAGAAAUAGGUCAGGGUUCUGAGGAGGUCACCUGGGGCAGGUGUGCCCUACCUUUGCACCUGAGUCCCCUACUGAAGCACAAGAUGACAACAAUGGUAGAACUCAGAAGAUGUCCAGCAAAGGUGCCAUUUGUCCUGGGGACACUCUGAUUUUGUGUGGGUGAUUUUGCAUUUGCUAAAAGUCGUGGUCUUCAUUCUUUUACAGUUUGGUAGGGCUGACCUUACUGUUAGAGGGGAAAAUAUCUCAUGGUUGCAGCAGCCAAGCUAAAAGCUCCAUUGAUUGAACUCAUCCUGCCCUUCAUCAGCCUUAGUGCCGUGACUCACACCUUUAGAGAGUUUACAGUGUGGAUUCUAGUAAAUGUGGGAGCACCCUGUUAAAAGUCAAAUGUCUCAACUGGGGUCGGGUGUUGAAGGAAGAGGACAUUAAAUGAUUUUUAGACAUCACUACUUGAAACAUUGGCUUAACAGAUAAUAUCUUACUAUUUAUUUGGUAGAGUUCUAAGAUGGGUGUUAACCUUGGAAUCUAUAUAGCUUCAGGGGCAGGGAGUAUGGGGAUCAGCUAAAGAAGGAAUGGAUCACAGAAAGCAACUUGGUGAGAUAACAUCUCCUAUCACGACUCCAGAACCUUUGAACACAUCAGUGUCAGACCUGCAACUUUGUUCAUAAUUGUCAAAACUUGGCAGUAACCAUGAUGCUGAUGUCCUUCAGUAGGUGAACAAAUAAAUUAACUGUGGUACAUACAUUCUGACAAUGGAAUAUUAUUCUGCACUAAAAACAAAUGUGCUAUCAAGCCAUGAAAAGCCAUGGAGGAAACUUAAAUGCGUAUUGCUAAGUGAAAGAAGCCAAUCUGAAGGGGCUACAUACUCUUUAUUCCAAGUACAUGACAUCUGGAAAUGACAAAACUAUGGACACCAUAAAAAGAUCCGUGGUUACCAAGGGUUGCGGUUUGGGGUAUGGAUACCUGGAGCACAGAGGAUUUUUAAGGCUGUGAAACUGUAUGACACUAUAAUAAUGGAUAUGUGUCAUUAGACAUUUGUCAAAACCCAUAGUAUGUACAACAGCAAUAGCAAACUCCAGUGUAACCUGUGGAGUUUGAGUGAUUAUGAUGUGUCAACAUAGGUUCAUCAGCUGUUAACAAAUGUACCCGUUUGGUGGGGCUAUAAAUGUGUGACAACUUAAAUUCUGCUUAACGGACUUUCUUUCUUAUUUCCUUUCUUUCUUUCUUUCUUUCUUUUUUUUUUGGUUUGUCUCUUGCAUCUUAUGUUAUCUCUGCAGUAAGUGUAGCUAAAUGAAAAAUCCCCAGGAUUCUAAACAGAUUGAUUAGAAAUUAUUUGAUUUUCUUUAUUUCAUUUUAUAUUACUUUUUAAGACCCGGUCAAAGAACAUUUACAUAUGAUGUGUGGGUAUCCAUAGAAUUAUGUCAUGGUUGCAUAUGCGGUUUUAGCCUAUGCUAUAAAAUGCCUACUUUUUUAAAAAAGGCGUUAUUUUCUUAGAGCAGUUUUAGGUUCACAGCAAAACUGAAAGGAAAUUACAGAGAUGUCUCGUAUACCCUUUGCCCUCACAUAUUUGAAAUGUCUUUUCAAAUAUUUUCCUCAUUUAUUAAGUAGCUGGUUGGUCUCAUUAUUAAGUUGUGAUAUAUCUUUAUGUAUUCUGAAUAAAGUCCUUUGUCAGAUCUACAUAUUACAAAUAUUUCCGCUCACUCGGUGGCUUACUUUUUAAUGUUCAUAAUGUUGUCUUACAAAGAGAAAAAGGUUUUCAUUUGAUAAAAUACAAUUUUUUAAUUUUUACAAUUUA
Macaca mulatta (Rhesus monkey) is the source of this 2720-nucleotide long non-coding RNA. RefSeq lists it as uncharacterized. NCBI's taxonomy places the organism in Eukaryota, Metazoa, Chordata, Mammalia, Primates, Cercopithecidae. The record is from RefSeq and is a predicted model, not a curated record.